CGUGUGCGUCUGUUGCUGGAUGCGCUUGAUCGUGGCGCCCUUGGGCCCCACCACGAGCCCCACCACGCGGUACGGCACCCGCA
This 83-nucleotide microRNA precursor is filed under the name Chlorocebus sabaeus (green monkey). RNAcentral's name for it is "miRNA (ENSCSAG00000021720.1)". The stretch from base 6 to 78 matches the Rfam family "mir-1905 microRNA precursor family". The record is from RNAcentral. Lineage: Eukaryota; Metazoa; Chordata; Mammalia; Primates; Cercopithecidae.